RNAcentral lists this ribosomal RNA (497 nucleotides) under uncultured bacterium. RNAcentral describes it as "partial 16S ribosomal RNA". It matches the Rfam family "Bacterial small subunit ribosomal RNA", at positions 36 to 507 of the family's 1533-position model. The record is from RNAcentral.
UCUUCCCUCUGGCUUCGUGCCUAAUACAUGCAAGUCGAGCGAACAGACGUUGAGCUUGAUCCUCUGACGUUAGCGGCGGACGAGUGGGUGGUAAGUGGAUAACCACUCUAUAAGACUGGGGUAAAUUCGGGAAACCGGCGCUAUUACCGGAUCAUAUAUUGAGCGGCAUGGUUAAAUAGUGAUAGACGGUUUUUGUGUCACUGAUCGAUUGAUCUGCGCCGUAUUAGCUAGUUGGUCAGGUAACGGAUUACCAAGCCAACUAUGCGUAGGCGACCUGAAAGGUGGGUCGGCCACCCGGGAACUUAGACACGGACCAGACUCCUACGGGAGGCAGCAGUAGGGAAUCUGCCGCAGUGGUCGAAAACCUGACGGAGCGACGCCGCGUGAGUUAUGACGGUCUUCGGUUCGUAAAACUCUCUUACGAGGUAAGAACAAAUGUGUAAGUAACUAUGCACGUCUUGACGGUACCUAAACAGAAAGCCACGGCUAACUACGUG